This 450-nucleotide ribosomal RNA is filed under the name uncultured bacterium. Its description in RNAcentral is "bacterial SSU rRNA". It matches the Rfam family "Bacterial small subunit ribosomal RNA", at positions 329 to 794 of the family's 1533-position model. The record is from RNAcentral.
GGCCAGACUCCUACGGGAGGCAGCAGUGGGGGAUAUUGCACAAUGGGGGGAACCCUGGUGCAGCGACGCCGCGUGGGUGAAGGAGUGCUUCGGCAUGUAAAGCCCUAUCGGCAGGGAAGAAGCAAGACGGUACCUGACUAAGAAGCCCCGGCUAACUACGUGCCAGCAGCCGCGGGAAUACGUAGGGGGCAAGCGUUAUCCGGAUUUACUGGGUGUAAAGGGAGCGUAGACGGUUAUGUAAGUCUGGAGUGAAAGCCCGGGGCCCAACCCCGGGACUGCUUUGGAAACUGUGUAACUGGAGUACAGGAGGGGCAGGCGGAAUUCCUGGUGUAGCGGUGAAAUGCGUAGAUAUCAGGAGGAACACCGGCGGCGAAGGCGGCCUGCUGGACUGAAACUGACGUUGAGGCUCGAAAGCGUGGGGAGCAAACAGGAUUAGAUACCCCUGUAAGC